GAGGGAGCUGCCGAAGGUGGGACCGAUAACUGGGGUGAAGUCGUAACAAGGUAGCCGUAUCGGAAGGUGCGGCUGGAUCACCUCCUUUCUAAGGAA
RNAcentral lists this ribosomal RNA (96 nucleotides) under Clostridiales bacterium 42_27. RNAcentral's name for it is "partial 16S ribosomal RNA". It matches the Rfam family "Bacterial small subunit ribosomal RNA", at positions 1446 to 1533 of the family's 1533-position model. RNAcentral also lists the same sequence under 1 other name. The record is from RNAcentral. Lineage: Bacteria; Bacillati; Bacillota; Clostridia; Eubacteriales.